UACGUAGGGUGCGAGCGUUGUCCGGAUUUAUUGGGCGUAAAGAGCUCGUAGGCGGCCAGUUGCGUCUGCUGUGAAAUCCCGGGGCUCAACCCCGGGCGUGCAGUGGAUACGGGCUGGCUAGAGGCAGGCAGGGGAGAACGGAAUUCCCGGUGUAGCGGUGAAAUGCGCAGAUAUCGGGAGGAACACCGGUGGCGAAGGCGGUUCUCUGGGCCUGUACUGACGCUGAGGAGCGAAAGCGUGGGGAGCGAACAGG
Molecule: ribosomal RNA, 253 nt
Filed under: uncultured bacterium
Lineage: Bacteria
Description: partial 16S ribosomal RNA
Rfam family: Bacterial small subunit ribosomal RNA
Source: RNAcentral